CUGGAAGAGGAACAAGUG
This 18-nucleotide microRNA is filed under the name Cricetulus griseus (Chinese hamster). RNAcentral's name for it is "cgr-miR-1903". The record is from miRBase by way of RNAcentral. Lineage: Eukaryota; Metazoa; Chordata; Mammalia; Rodentia; Cricetidae.